AGUACAAAUUCACACCAACAAGCCUCGACCUUGUUAUCUUCUUGGAUCAUCACUUUAAAGGAAAAGUCGUGCUUUAAAUACAGCAAAAUAAAGAUAAAAGCAAUAUGAUAUAAAUAUAUUUUUAAUUUACUAAUAUUUCUUCUAUUUCAGAAUAUAAAAGGUCCACCAUACGAAGAAGUACAGGGAAAAGUCGCGCUUUAAGUACAGCAAAGUAAAGAUUAAAGAAGUCCGCCCGUAAAAUUAAGUCAAUGGAAAAUCGGGCUUGGAGAACCGCAAGUAAAAAGCUAUAAUGGCCUAAAGGGGAGCCAGCCAUUUAAAACAAUUGGCAACGCGCCUAUCACGGUACCCCAAGGAUGAUGCGGAAAACCAUGCUCUGUACAUUCUUGUACUUUGCGGUUGUGUGGAAAAAGCUUUCGAUCUGGCUCAACGCCAUAACAAAUUAAAACUUCAUGGCGAACUGUUAGAACGUUACUAAAAUGCCAAAUCAAGUGAUUAUCUAGCAUUGGCUCAAUAUUUUGAAAGUGAAAAGAAUACUUUGCUGGCAGGCAAAUAUUAUUUCUUGGCCAGAGAGUUUACGAAAGCUUUGAGAUUUUUAUUGAAGGCAGAUGCUUUUAAUAACGAAGAGUCACAGGUUUUAUCGACGACAAUUGACUGCGUUGCCAUGUCCAACAAUGAAAAUUUGCAACUCAACUAAUAGUGUUUCUUCUAGGCGAAGUGGAUGGUUCACCGAAAGAUCCGCGUUAUUUAUUCCGAUUGUAUAUGGCUAGGCGGCACUAUACGGAUGUGGCAAAAACGGCUGCAAUUAUAGGCAAUCAAGAACAGUUGACGGACAACUAUAAAAUUGUACGCGGUCUAUUAUUUUCUAUGUAUCAAGAAUUAAGGCGCAAUAAUUUGGCGGUAACAUCCGACAUGAGGCACAAUCUCAUUCUCUUGCACCGCUACCACCAAUUUGAUAUUGAUACUCGAUUGAAAUCUCGUACGAAGGGAACCAUAGUUAAUGAAAUGUUGAUCAAUCUUCCUUAGGUGGAUCUUAUACGAAGAGAAAAUAGCAUGAAAUUAACCCUAACUGCCACGAAUGCUCGAGAUUUUUAUACGCUUGAUGGACAUAAGAACGAGUUGGAAUAAUGUUUCCGGUUUUCAAGAAAUCCAUUAGUCUCUCCUUAACCAUGAAGUUGAUAAUCUUUAUGAAUACGGAUACUAGCGAAAUUGGUCUGAA
Long non-coding RNA from Glossina fuscipes, 1216 nucleotides. RefSeq lists it as uncharacterized. The transcript is spliced from 5 exons. The record is from RefSeq and is a predicted model, not a curated record. NCBI's taxonomy places the organism in Eukaryota, Metazoa, Arthropoda, Insecta, Diptera, Glossinidae.